This 381-nucleotide ribosomal RNA is filed under the name uncultured eukaryote. RNAcentral's name for it is "partial 18S ribosomal RNA". It matches the Rfam family "Eukaryotic small subunit ribosomal RNA", at positions 593 to 976 of the family's 1831-position model. The record is from RNAcentral.
UGUAGCGUAUACCAAAGUUGUUGCAGUUAAAACGCUCGUAGUCGGAAUUUGGCAGUUCCGGAUGUGUGCACGUCGUGUGCGCACUUCGCGGGGAUUGCUUUUGUGGUCUUGCGUAGGAUGAGGCACUUUUAUUAGUGAACGUCCUCACGCAACCACUUUUUACUGUGAGAAAAUCAGAGUGCUCAAAGCAGGCAUUUGCCGUGAAUGUAUUAGCAUGGAAUAAUAGAAUAGGACUUGGUUCUAUUUUGUUGGUUUGUUGGGACUGAGUAAUGAUUAAGAGGGACAGUUGGGGGCAUUUGUAUUUCGGUGCUAGAGGUGAAAUUCUUAGAUUACCGAAAGACAAACUGCUGCGAAAGCGUCUGCCAAGGAUGUUUUCAUUGA